Molecule: non-coding RNA, 74 nt
Organism: Phrynosoma platyrhinos (Desert horned lizard)
Lineage: Eukaryota; Metazoa; Chordata; Lepidosauria; Squamata; Phrynosomatidae
Source: the annotation of a GenBank genome assembly
GCCAAUGUGGCAUAGUGGUUUGAGCGCUGGACCAAGGGACUCCGAGGACCAGGGUUUGAAUCCCAGCUUGGCCA